RNAcentral lists this transfer RNA (65 nucleotides) under Pisidia serratifrons. RNAcentral describes it as "tRNA-Ser". The record is from RNAcentral. RNAcentral also lists the same sequence under 1 other name. Lineage: Eukaryota; Metazoa; Arthropoda; Malacostraca; Decapoda; Porcellanidae.
GAGAUUUAUGCUAAAAUAAAAGCUUCUAACUUUUCUUUAAGCGGUUAAAUUCCGUUAAAAUCUCA